GCCUACGUGGUGAAAUUGGUAUACACGCUACCUUGAGGGGGUAGUUCUCUUUAUGAGAGUGCUGGUUCGAGUCCAGUCGUAGGCACAA
Molecule: transfer RNA, 88 nt
Filed under: Flavobacteriaceae bacterium TMED42
Lineage: Bacteria; Pseudomonadati; Bacteroidota; Flavobacteriia; Flavobacteriales; Flavobacteriaceae
Description: tRNA-Leu
Rfam family: tRNA
About the family: Transfer RNA (tRNA) molecules are approximately 80 nucleotides in length. Their secondary structure includes four short double-helical elements and three loops (D, anti-codon, and T loops).
Source: RNAcentral